GCGUCAGUAGGUUGGUCGUGCCACCGGUACGUACUGGACUCACUGAUUCCUCCUUCCUGAAGAACCGUAAUGCCAUUAAUUUGGUGUUGCGGGGAAACAGGACUGUUACUUUGAAAAAAUUAGAGUGUUUAAAGCAAGCUAACGCUUGAAUACAUUAGCAUGGAAUAAUGAAAUAGGACGAUCGAUCCUAUUUUGUUGGUUUCUAGGAUUGACGUA
RNAcentral lists this ribosomal RNA (216 nucleotides) under Glomeromycotina sp. RNAcentral describes it as "partial small subunit ribosomal RNA". The stretch from base 40 to 216 matches the Rfam family "Eukaryotic small subunit ribosomal RNA", at positions 686 to 864 of the family's 1831-position model. The record is from RNAcentral. Lineage: Eukaryota; Fungi; Glomeromycota.